Long non-coding RNA from Rana temporaria (common frog), 596 nucleotides. RefSeq lists it as uncharacterized. Lineage: Eukaryota; Metazoa; Chordata; Amphibia; Anura; Ranidae. The record is from RefSeq and is a predicted model, not a curated record. The transcript is spliced from 2 exons.
UCUAUCUCCUCCAGUCUCCAGGAAGAUGUCUGCACACCUGUUUAUAGGUAAGGAUGGGGGAGGGGCAUGCUGUGUAUAUAUUGGACCUUAUCAAUGGAAAUGAUUGUCUCUCUCAGUUCCAGUAUCGGUUCCGCUCCUCCAUGUCUCAUGUCUCCGGAAUGACAGCGCUGAGAUCUCCUGCAGGGUGGAGGCGGGGACUAAGCCAAAUAUCAGCCUAUCUGUGAUUGGAGGAUCCCAGGAGAGAUAUUCCGCAUCCGCCAAUAAUAUUACAGCCAUUGUGGGGUCACCGGGGCCCUGGAACAUCACCUGUACUGUGGAGAAUGGGGUCAGCCGGUCGGAGGAGAGCAGAGCCGGGGUCACCUGUCCAGUCCCCCUCUCUGACAUCACUGUGACCUCCUCCUGUCUUCCGGAUGGCAGCGCAGUGGCCGUCUGUUUGGUGAAAGGAUCAGAUCCGAAUUAUUCCUGGAGUUUGGAUGGAAGAUCCGUCUCCUCAGAUAGCUGGAUUACUCUUCCUCCUCCGGUCUCCGGAACCCUCCACUGUGAUGUCACCAAUCAGAUCAAUAAUCUAAGUAGAUCCAUCAACAUCUCCUGUGCAG